This 231-nucleotide non-coding RNA is filed under the name Sporomusa sphaeroides. RNAcentral's name for it is "Sporomusa sp. T-box sequence". It matches the Rfam family "T-box leader". Rfam says of the family: Uncharged tRNA acts as the effector for transcription antitermination of genes in the T-box leader family. T-boxes are found upstream of many aminoacyl-tRNA synthetase genes and some amino acid biosynthetic genes usually in Gram-positive bacteria. The anticodon of a specific tRNA base pairs to a specifier sequence within the T-box motif, and the NCCA acceptor tail of the tRNA base pairs to a conserved bulge in the T-box antiterminator hairpin. The record is from RNAcentral. Lineage: Bacteria; Bacillati; Bacillota; Negativicutes; Selenomonadales; Sporomusaceae.
UGAAUAGUGAUGAACGGAAGAGUACGCUAACGCGACUGUUCAGAGAGGAAGCCCCUGGCUGCAAGGUUUCUCAGUGCGCAAGCUGAAGGUCAUCCGGGAGCUGCUGUGUUGAAAAAUUUUAGUAGGUACAGCCGGUUUUGCCACGUAAUGGCAAUGUGAGUGUCUGGCUGUAGUUUAUGCCGGAAACAAAGGUGGUAUCGCGGAAGAAACCAAGGUUCUUUCGUCCUUAGA